RNAcentral lists this long non-coding RNA (1516 nucleotides) under Medicago truncatula (barrel medic). RNAcentral's name for it is "long non-coding RNA (MTRU_LNC002808)". Lineage: Eukaryota; Viridiplantae; Streptophyta; Magnoliopsida; Fabales; Fabaceae. The record is from RNAcentral.
UUACUGAAAAACUAAUACACUUCAAGUAAUAUUUUUUAUAUAUAAUUCUAUUUUAAUUUUGAUGAAAUUUUUACAUAAUUAGUACUAUAAUCGAUAGUUUCAAAAAAACAAUGACAACCACCAUAUGGCAUCAAUAUUUUCCAAAGCCUUACUCUUUUUCCCCAAAAAAGCACCCUCCCCCACUUUACCUAAUCUUAAUUUAUCUACCUUUAAUAAUUUACACAUACAAAUUAAAACAAGUUAUAUUUAACGUAGACCCUUUAUAAAUUAAUUAACGUUUGUUAAUCAAGAACAUCAUCAAAGUUUAUUUAUUCAGCUGUGACAAUAUUGCAUGGCCAUGCAGAUGAGAAAGGUUGAAAAACCAUAUUUUGACUUAUGUUUGACAACUUUUGACCCAGCAUGGUUCGUUCCAACCGGAGCCACUCAUUUUCGGUUCGUACACGAUUGCAUUGAUACAGUAAAAACUGCAACCCGUUGUUCAAUUCCCGGUUUUCAACUCUAAACCGGUUCACCUGGUUCCGUAAAUUCUCAAGAUGUCUUUGUUUUCUCAUACGUGAUCUCCUUGCUGAUUCCCGGUUCGAUAUCAUUCUCCUCCGCUUUCGGUCCUCCAUAUUCCGGUUCGAGCCAUCCAUGACCGGUUUUUCGUUUGGUUCGCCUGAACCGGAGCUUGAAGUGAGCUUAGGGCUGGUGGGUUGGAUGGGGGACAGAAUGUUAGAAAAAUCCCACGGCGUUAAACUUUUGUCUAACGCCGUGAAAUCGGAGGAAUAGAGGGAAGAGAGCAUGGUUAUUGCUAAGUAAAAAGUAGUGAAAGGAAAGAAGGAGAAAGGGAAGAAACGCUGCUUAAGGGACUCGUAUUUAAAGGCAUAUUGUAGGAGGUACUACAUGUAAAUAAUGAUAUUUAUGGGGGUGUUUUGGUCUAAUAAUGUAUAGCUUUUGAGUCAGUUGUCACUAUAUGGUGGUGGUGGGGUGUAAUUUAAGGGUCAUAUUCACUUUUUUUACAGUGACAUCAGCAAGUGGGUCCUAGAAAAAGAUUGGAUUUUAAUCUUCCUCAUGAAGGUAAAAAUAGAAGAUGGGGUCCAAAAUGACACGUGUAAGAUUUCUAGGCUAGGUUAGUGUGUGAGGAUCCAAUGAUUGGAAAUGUUGAUGACGUGGCAAUAUGCUAGCAGCAGGAGGUAAUUAACAGCUGUUGAACACUGCUUGAUGAACUAUAAUGCAACGUAUAAGAUUGUUGUUCAUUGAUUCAUGACAUCAAUGGUUUAAAGUUUUAGUUAGCACAAUAAGGAUAAGUAAUGUCCAAUUAACAUGUUUUUAUAUUAUGAAUAUAUUGAACACAACUCCAAUAGUUUAAUUUAAACAUCUUAAUUUAAAUACAAGUGGCCAGAUUUGAUUAUAGAUCGUCGGGACGUACACCAGUGUGUGAGAGUAAAAAUACAGUAAAAUCAUCAUUUUAUGUAACUUAUGUUAAGUUCUUUUUAUAAUAAAUGAAAGUAUUUUAUUAUAUCUAUGAUGUAUCCAU